This 421-nucleotide ribosomal RNA is filed under the name uncultured bacterium. Its description in RNAcentral is "partial 16S ribosomal RNA". It matches the Rfam family "Bacterial small subunit ribosomal RNA", at positions 361 to 774 of the family's 1533-position model. The record is from RNAcentral.
AUAUUGGACAAUGGGGGCAACCCUGAUCCAGCCAUCCCGCGUGUGCGUUGAAGGCCUUCGUGUUGAAAAGCACUUUUGGCAGGGAAGAAAAGGCCCUGGCUAAUACCUGGAGCUGCUGACGGUACCUGCAGAAUAAGCACCGGCUAAAUACGUACCAGCAGCCGCGGUAAGACGUAGGGUGCAAGCGUUAAUCGGAAUUACUGGGCGUAAAGCGUGCGCAGGCGGUUCGGAAAGAAAGGUGUGAAAUCCCAGGGCUUAACCUUGGAACUGCACUUUUAACUGCCGGGCUAGAGUACGUCAGAGGGGGGUAGAAUUCCACGUGUAGCAGUGAAAUGCGUAGAGAUGUGGAGGAAUACCGAUGGCGAAGGCAGCCCCCUGGGAUGAUACUGACGCUCAUGCACGAAAGCGUGGGGAGCAAACA